UGAUUCAUCUCUGAAAGACGA
This 21-nucleotide unclassified non-coding RNA is filed under the name Dictyostelium discoideum. The record is from RNAcentral. Lineage: Eukaryota; Evosea; Eumycetozoa; Dictyosteliales; Dictyosteliaceae.